GGGUUGUGAGGUUAAGCGACUAAGCGUACACGGUGGAUGCCCUGGCAGUCAGAGGCGAUGAAGGACGUGCUAAUCUGCGAAAAGCGCCGGCGAGGUGAUAUGAACCCUUGACCCGGCGAUGUCCGAAUGGGGAAACCCAGUGCAAUCCGUUGCACUAUCGUUAACUGAAUACAUAGGUUAACGAGGCGAACCGGGGGAACUGAAACAUCUAAGUACCCCGAGGAAAAGAAAUCAACCGAGAUUCCCCCAGUAGCGGCGAGCGAACGGGGAGCAGCCCGGAGUCUGAAUCAGCUUGUGUGUUAGUGGAACGGUCUGGAAAGUCCGACGGUACAGGGUGAUAGUCCCGUACACGAAAGCACACAUGCUGUGAACUCGAAGAGUAGGGCGGGACACGUGGUAUCCUGUCUGAAUAUGGGGGGACCAUCCUCCAAGGCUAAAUACUCCUGACUGACCGAUAGUGAACCAGUACCGUGAGGGAAAGGCGAAAAGAACCCCGGCGAGGGGAGUGAAAAAGAACCUGAAACCGUGUACGUACAAGCAGUGGGAGCCUCUUUAUGGGGUGACUGCGUACCUUUUGUAUAAUGGGUCAGCGACUUAUAUUCUGUAGCAAGGUUAACCGUAUAGGGGAGCCGAAGGGAAACCGAGUCUUAACUGGGCGUUAAGUUGCAGGGUAUAGACCCGAAACCCGGUGAUCUAGCCAUGGGCAGGUUGAAGGUUGGGUAACACUAACUGGAGGACCGAACCGACUAAUGUUGAAAAAUUAGCGGAUGACCUGUGGCUGGGGGUGAAAGGCCAAUCAAACCGGGAGAUAGCUGGUUCUCCCCGAAAGCUAUUUAGGUAGCGCCUCGUGAAUUCAUCUUCGGGGGUAGAGCACUGUUUCGGCUAGGGGGCCAUCCCGGCUUACCAACCCGAUGCAAACUACGAAUACCGAAGAAUGUUAUCACGGGAGACACACGGCGGGUGCUAACGUCCGUCGUGAAGAGGGAAACAACCCAGACCGCCAGCUAAGGUCCCAAAGUCAUGGUUAAGUGGGAAACGAUGUGGGAAGGCACAGACAGCCAGGAUGUUGGCUUAGAAGCAGCCAUCAUUUAAAGAAAGCGUAAUAGCUCACUGGUCGAGUCGGCCUGCGCGGAAGAUGUAACGGGGCUAAACCAUGCACCGAAGCUGCGGCAGCGACGCUUAUGCGUUGUUGGGUAGGGGAGCGUUCUGUAAGCCGUUGAAGGUGUGCUGUGAGGCAUGCUGGAGGUAUCAGAAGUGCGAAUGCUGACAUAAGUAACGAUAAAGCGGGUGAAAAGCCCGCUCGCCGGAAGACCAAGGGUUCCUGUCCAACGUUAAUCGGGGCAGGGUGAGUCGACCCCUAAGGCGAGGCCGAAAGGCGUAGUCGAUGGGAAACAGGUUAAUAUUCCUGUACUUGGUGUUACUGCGAAGGGGGGACGGAGAAGGCUAUGUCAGCCGGGCGACGGUUGUCCCGGUUUAAGCAUGUAGGCGGAGGUUCCAGGUAAAUCCGGUACCUUGUUAACGCUGAGGUGUGAUGACGAGGCACUACGGUGCUGAAGUGAUAAAUGCCCUGCUUCCAGGAAAAGCCUCUAAGCAUCAGGUAACACGAAAUCGUACCCCAAACCGACACAGGUGGUCAGGUAGAGAAUACCAAGGCGCUUGAGAGAACUCGGGUGAAGGAACUAGGCAAAAUGGUGCCGUAACUUCGGGAGAAGGCACGCUGAUGUGUAGGUGAAGCCCCUGCGGGUGGAGCUGAAAUCAGUCGAAGAUACCAGCUGGCUGCAACUGUUUAUUAAAAACACAGCACUGUGCAAACACGAAAGUGGACGUAUACGGUGUGACGCCUGCCCGGUGCCGGAAGGUUAAUUGAUGGGGUUAGCGGCAACGCGAAGCUCUUGAUCGAAGCCCCGGUAAACGGCGGCCGUAACUAUAACGGUCCUAAGGUAGCGAAAUUCCUUGUCGGGUAAGUUCCGACCUGCACGAAUGGCGUAAUGAUGGCCAGGCUGUCUCCACCCGAGACUCAGUGAAAUUGAACUCGCUGUGAAGAUGCAGUGUACCCGCGGCAAGACGGAAAGACCCCGUGAACCUUUACUAUAGCUUGACACUGAACACUGGUCCUUGAUGUGUAGGAUAGGUGGGAGGCUUUGAAGCGUGGACGCCAGUCUGCGUGGAGCCGCCCUUGAAAUACCACCCUUUAAUGGCUGGUGUUCUAACGUGGACCCGUAAUCCGGGUUGCGGACAGUGUCUGGUGGGUAGUUUGACUGGGGCGGUCUCCUCCCAAAGAGUAACGGAGGAGCACGAAGGUUGGCUAAUCCUGGUCGGACAUCAGGAGGUUAGUGCAAUGGCAUAAGCCAGCUUGACUGCGAGCGUGACGGCGCGAGCAGGUGCGAAAGCAGGUCAUAGUGAUCCGGUGGUUCUGAAUGGAAGGGCCAUCGCUCAACGGAUAAAAGGUACUCCGGGGAUAACAGGCUGAUACCGCCCAAGAGUUCAUAUCGACGGCGGUGUUUGGCACCUCGAUGUCGGCUCAUCACAUCCUGGGGCUGAAGUAGGUCCCAAGGGUAUGGCUGUUCGCCAUUUAAAGUGGUACGCGAGCUGGGUUUAGAACGUCGUGAGACAGUUCGGUCCCUAUCUGCCGUGGGCGCUGGAGAAUUGAGGGGGGCUGCUCCUAGUACGAGAGGACCGGAGUGGACGCAUCACUGGUGUUCGGGUUGUCAUGCCAAUGGCACUGCCCGGUAGCUAAAUGCGGAAGAGAUAAGUGCUGAAAGCAUCUAAGCACGAAACUUGCCCCGAGAUGAGUUCUCCCUGAGACUUUAAGUCUCCUGAAGGAACGUUGAAGACGACGACGUUGAUAGGUCGGGUGUGUAAGCGCAGCGAUGCGUUGAGCUAACCGAUACUAAUGAACCGUGAGGCUUAACCUUACAACGCCGAAGGUGUUU
This 2933-nucleotide ribosomal RNA is filed under the name Enterobacter cloacae. RNAcentral describes it as "bacterial LSU rRNA". It matches the Rfam family "Bacterial large subunit ribosomal RNA". RNAcentral also lists the same sequence under 1 other name. The record is from RNAcentral. Lineage: Bacteria; Pseudomonadati; Pseudomonadota; Gammaproteobacteria; Enterobacterales; Enterobacteriaceae.